UCCUACGGGAGGCAGCAGUAGGGAAUCUUCGGCAAUGGACGAAAGUCUGACCGAGCAACGCCGCGUGAGUGAAGAAGGUUUUCGGAUCGUAAAACUCUGUUGUUAGAGAAGAACGUUGUGUAGAGUGGAAAAUUACACAAGUGACGGUAUCUAACCAGAAAGGGACGGCUAACUACGUGCCAGCAGCCGCGGUAAUA
Molecule: ribosomal RNA, 197 nt
Filed under: uncultured Lactobacillus sp.
Lineage: Bacteria; Bacillati; Bacillota; Bacilli; Lactobacillales; Lactobacillaceae
Description: partial 16S ribosomal RNA
Rfam family: Bacterial small subunit ribosomal RNA
Source: RNAcentral